This 5737-nucleotide long non-coding RNA is filed under the name Sus scrofa (pig). RNAcentral describes it as "lncRNA (ENSSSCG00050042335.1)". Lineage: Eukaryota; Metazoa; Chordata; Mammalia; Artiodactyla; Suidae. The record is from RNAcentral.
ACUGCCACACCUGCAGUAUAUGGAAGUUACUGCGCUAGCGGUCACGUCGGGGAUGCAGCUGCUGGCCUUGCCACAGCAACACCAGAUCCGAGCCACAUCUGUGUCUCAGGCACCUAUGCCACAACUUACAGAAACACUGGAUCCUUAACCCACUGAGUCACAAGGGGAACUCCAGAUUUUUUUUUUUUUUAAGGAUUAUACCCAACAUCUCUUCUCCCUUGAAUGAGCACCAGAAUUGUCAGGUGACUGAAUCACUAGGCUUUGAGAACUAAUUCAUUCCUAAUGAAGUGGUGGAUUCCUACAUAGGCCUGCCUGAAUAGCCACUAAGAAGCUUCUCACUUGCAGUAGGCAUGGCUACAGAGUCCAGGCAGGAGAGACUGGAGGCCAAUUUGCUGUUCUAUAUUUGGCAGUAAUGCAGCUGACUCUGGCUAAAGCAAUACAGAAAAAAACUUUAUUCAACCAAAGCCUAUGUAAAUGGUGAUUAGUUAAGAUUUUGCUUUCCACAUUCUUUCAUGAGAAAGGCACCCAUACCCUUUCCCCAGGCCACCUCACAUAAAGCAAGCAACGAUCAGGAUUCAGUUGAAAGUCUGUUCAACAUCCAGCCAGAGUAAAUCAUUUAGAAUGAAACCGAUUCAGCCUGAUCAGGUAAACAAGUUUUAAAUUGGUACAAAUUGAUUUAUUUCUAUUACUUACAAUCUGAAUAAAGAGCUAUGUGAAACUGUAUCUCAACCUUUCUUUACAUGCAUUACUUUUGAGUGUCUUCUACAAGAUGCCCACUUAGAUAUCAACUAAAUAACUAUAUGUCAAGUCACCUGGCCAUCACCUUCAUUUCUCUAGUCAUGAGGCAAAAUAAAGUAUCAAACAGCCAAAAUCUGAUGGAAGGAACUGGUCUCUUCUGCAUGGCAGACUGAAUAUAGGAAAAGGAGAAAGCUGGGUCUUCAAUAAUAAUUCCUAUAGUGCUACUGAUCCCCAGUCUUAUUUAGUCCAAUGUGUCAAUUCCUGUAAAUUGGCAUAUAUUAUGUGUGCACUAUUUUCAGAGCAUCCUAUGACUAUUAGGGUUCUUCAAGACCAGGUUGGAAAAGAUGAUUUUACUUCAAUGGCAUGUUGCUAUUGCCAGAGCUCUUGGCACUGAGAGUGAUAUCUCGGUGGAUUACAAUUAUAAUCAUUCCAAAGAGGAACAAAAAAAAAAAAAAAAAAAAGAUUGAAUAAUUUUUCACUUUCAGAAUCCCUGAAGCAUGAUGACUCAGUGCUAUAGCUAACUUUGACAAAAGCACUGAGAGCUUUUAAACUUAUCUCUAGGUCAAACCCCUUAACACACCAGUGACUCAGUUUUCUUAUUUGUACAACAGCAGUAAGCUGCCUGACAACACAGAGUCACAUUACCAUGUUAUGGCAUUCUGUAUAAUAAUGUUAGAACUAUCGAAGUGCAAAAAAGCCAUGAAACCAUCCAAUCACAAUACAAUGGAUUCAGGUAAUGUAAGGGGUUAACAAUAAUGCUCCAUCUUUGCAUAGCAAUACAGAAUGUCCUAUAUGCUUUCAUAUUCAUUAUUGUGCUUUAUCUAAACCACCUUGUGAAGCAAAUCAGGCAGGCAUUAUCUCUGACUGACAGACAAGUAAUCAAGGGUUCAAAUCUCUGGUAUUAAAUAGCUCAUCAGAGACCACAAGCAAAUAAAAGACAGAAAAGGUACUAGGACCCAGGUCCUUAAGUCCUCCAUUCAGUAUUCUUUUGCCAAUAAUCUGAUAUCUUCUAAUAACAAUAAAAUGCUACUUGGAUUAUCAUCAGUUUUGAUACUGGUUCUCCACGUGGAUGUUCAGGCUGUAACAUCACAAGAAUCCAACCCAACAAGGCGGGGAGGGAUGAGAUCUUCCAGCCCAAAAGUUUCUUGGCUUUCAAAAUUAUAGAAAGGACACAGAAGAAUGUACAAAUAGGAUGUAUACUCCAUCAGAUGAACCUGAGAAAAAACGGCACAUUUCUUUUUUGAAAAGCCUCCUUUCAACAAUUUACACUCUCAAAAUGUCUGGCCUAUAGGAAAAUAAUUUCCAGCUAAUAAUCAUGAGUUGAAUAGUUUUGCAACACUGGUCAGCAAGGUUUUCAAGAACAGGCCUAAAGCUGGAUCCUUGCCCAUAAGCACUUUAAAAUCUUUUGGAGAUACGAAAUCAGCAUGUAACUUUCAGACUCAUGAUGGUUAGGAAUUCAGAAUAAGGAAAAGCCUUCAGUAAGCUGAAGGUUUCAUGAAAGAAUGAGAGAAGUAUGAGGCACCAGUGGGACUUUGAGAAGUGGAUUUAAUUUAUAAAGGACAAACACAGUGGGCAUUCAGAUUGGUGAGGAUGUGCAGGGUGGGUAGCAGAAAGAAAAGGCAAUGGAGCGGCAGGAGGAAACUGAGAUGCAGAGAAACGCGCUCAGUAAAUGGGCGAGCUAGUAAAAUGAAUGAAUCGAUGUGCUACAAUUAGAAUCCAGGUCUCACCCCCUAAACAUGGAACUCUUAUGCCAUUCUGCUCCUUCUAACUUGUCUUCCUGCCUCCACUCUGGCACCCCUGUCCAAGAAGUUCUCCAAUGUCUUACAUUUCUUUCUGAAACACAAUUCUGAUCUGGUGAGUCCCCUGCUUAAAUGGCUUCAAUGACUUGAUUGUGGCUUUCAGAAAGAAGUUGAAACUCCAACAUGGCAUAAUAAUAUCCAUCAUGAUCUUUUCUCUUUUCCAGCAGGUCCACCAUAUGUAACCUUUGUUUCAGCCACUAACAUCUACCCACAGCUCCCUUACCGGGCAUUCUACCACAUUUCUCUCUACCUUUGUGUACGUUGUUCUUUCACCCUUAGAGGCCUUUCCCUCCCCUUCUUCAAUUAAUGCCUUAUUCUUGGUGCAAAAGUCACCUACUAUGCUAAGCCUUCCUUUACCACACUCAAGCAGCCAAUUAGUUUCAGAUGCCUGUCAAAUUUCUCAUUCUCCCUCCUAAGCAUAUUCCCAUCCUUCCUUAUCACACAGCUCUUUAAUAGUGAAUUAACUUCCCUGUCUCCCUCACUGGACAACCGCAUCUUUAUAUCACCAACCUUCAGAAUAAUGCCUAGUGUGUAGUAACUGCUCAGUAAUGUUGCAUAAAUGAACCCAUUUGCUCAGUCUUUAUCAGUUAAAACCCAAACAUGAUUUAUCCAAUUAAAAACAAAUAACCAAAUAUUCAGGAAGUUAUAUAAGAACCAGAACAUUAACUUCUGUUACUUCAAGUUACUAAUGUGACUGUUUUCUAAACAACCAAAGCCUUCAGGAAUUUUACAGAAACACAAAGUCAAAAUGCAAAAACAUCAAAGAAUGUUAAGCCACAGUACAACACAGUAUAUGUGUGAGGGGUGCUGGGUCUACCAUAACACUAGCUUCUCUUCAUGGUUAAAUAUGUAGGAUUUAGGAUGUAUCCUUCAUUAACACUUCUAGAGCUCUCUGUACUAUUUGAGGUGACAAAAUACAUUCCACGGUUGACAUCAAAUUACUAGUUAAGACUCAUGCUGCUUGAUGACAUGCUACAAUCUGGGCCUAAACAGAUAGCUACAUAAAAUACAAAGCUCUACUACUAAGGCAUUAUUCAAAAUGUGAUGAGUCCAAAACAAGGUUGCAUUCAUUAAAAACCAAAAUAAAAAGUCAUUAUGAGGAUGCACAGAUGGAGAAAAGAACAGUAAGUUUUGUUAUAUUUUGAUUUAAUUAAUCUCAAACAGAAGUCCUUGAAGUCAUGAGACGUCGCUCUGAAAAAAUUCUAAUACUCAUUAAAAGAUAUAUAUAAAUGAAAGCAGUUCUCUAUAGAACACAUGCCUUCCUUUUCCAGUUUCCCAGAACAAUGAGCAACUAAAUGAAAACAAUUGAAUCACAAGCCUUACACUAUAUGAAUCUACUACACCAUAGCUAUUGAGUUAAAUUUUCUAUGUAGUAGAAACUUUCAUUUUAGCUAAUACCAUAUAGAUGUGUGUAAUUAACUGUUUACUCCCAGAUGAACUAUCUUCAACAUCAACCACCUGUGUGAUCCACGAUAUUUCCCUUCUCUCUUGUCGGUGACCUCCCCCUCUUCCCAGUUUAAGUGUAAUCAACUGGCAUUUCCUUUUCUCUCUCUGGUAACUCAAUAGUUCUUAUUCUUCUAUAGGAGACAGAUUCCUUUGAGAAACUGAUAAAAACUAUGGGGCCCAGAAAAAUGAAUGUACCUACAUAUACACUCAAAUUUUUCAGUUUCAGUUUAAGAACUCUUACCCUUACCCCCAUAAUCACCUACACAAAUUAUUUCUACUACCAUAUGGCUCUCUUUUAUGAUCCCCCACUGCAACUCCUUUACACAAACAUAAUUAAGGACUGCUACAGUGAUUAACAACAUUAACACAGAAAAUUAAAUGUUGUCUAGGUAAAGAUGUAUUUUACUAGCAAUAUUUUACGAAGCCCAGAUGAACUCCUCUCUAAAAGGCCUUAGAAGACCAUGUAGACCACUUCAAUAAGACAACUCAAAAGGAGUAAGGCAUUUAUUUAAAAAGUUUACCAAGUCUUGUUAUUUAGACAACGUUCCUUAAAAAUGUGCUGAAAUGUCUUCCUAAAUUUGUUUUAGUUAACUCUGACAUACUUGCUUGUAAAAUAACGUAUGGCUUAAAAGUUAUUUUGAGCAAAAAAGUCCCUAUUGAUAUUAAACUCUUGGAUUCAAACUCUUGUUCUGCUAUACCAAGCUAGGCACUGAAAGUGAUACCAUCUCAUAACUAUCUAGUUACCUUGUCAAAGCAUAAAAGAUGAAACAGGACAAAUGGCCAAAUGGAAGGGAAGAAUAUAACCAAGGUGUUAUUCCUGAGAUGAGUGCUUUUUCCUUAAGCGCAUAGAUCCUAAAAGUGGAAAGUUCUUGCUGAAAGUAUCAAACUGUGGAAACUAUCAGCUCACUUUAAUUUUUCGCUAAAACUUUUCCUCACCGUUUAAACCACAGUUUUGUACUGAGUCCAAAAGAAAAUAAAAAGGAAACGCGGUCACUUUUCUACCACAAAUUGAUAAAUUUCAAAAUCACAACAUCACAAUUUUUAAACACAUUAAAUUCUGGUGACACCCACAAAACUUCGAAGUUUUUACAAUAGGAGCACCAUUAACCCUCUGCCAGCAAAGACAAUUCACAAAGAACUUGUGACUCAAUUUCUUCACUUGUAAAUACCUGGGGGUGGGGGGUGGAGGGAGUGAGAAUUACAUCAAGUAAUUCUCAAUUUGCCUCAAGUUAGGGUGGACUUGAUGAGACGUUAGACCUGGUUAUUUUAUUCUACCCACCAGGUCCCUCUCCACAUAACAGAAGACUCCGUAUUUCCUAUAACCAUAACACUUCGAUCACUGUUUUCCAAUAUGGACAAUCCAUAAUUGAAAGGCAAAUAGGAGGCAUGAGAACAACAGGUACAUACCAAAUGGCCAGAUGCCAUAAGGGCUUUAGUUAUAUGUCACUGCCUCCUUCCUUCUUAGAAUCAAGCUGCCGGUUAAAACUGAAAACUAGAUAUGCAACACGUGGCUUGUGCUUCAGACCUCAACUAAGAAACUUCACAUUGAAGUUGUAUUAGCUGAAAUUGUUCAGGAAAACCAUCUGCCUUCAUGCUACCCGAAUUAGAAAGUUUAUUGAUAAAUGUCUGCCUCUAUCGGCUAAGGGUUGGCAGAAACAGUCUUUAGCUAAUAUGCUUUAUUAAUUUCACCAGUUUUUAGGUUUCACUAUUAUUAAACUGUUUUCCUAUAAACUGAAGAAAAAAAAAAAAAAAAA